This 478-nucleotide ribosomal RNA is filed under the name uncultured bacterium. Its description in RNAcentral is "bacterial SSU rRNA". It matches the Rfam family "Bacterial small subunit ribosomal RNA", at positions 501 to 981 of the family's 1533-position model. The record is from RNAcentral.
CUACGUGCCAGCAGCCGCGGUAAUACGUAGGUCCCGAGCGUUGUCCGGAUUUAUUGGGCGUAAAGCGAGCGCAGGCGGUUUGAUAAGUCUGAAGUUAAAGGCUGUGGCUCAACCAUAGUUCGCUUUGGAAACUGUCAAACUUGAGUGCAGAAGGGGAGAGUGGAAUUCCAUGUGUAGCGGUGAAAUGCGUAGAUAUAUGGAGGAACACCGGUGGCGAAAGCGGCUCUCUGGUCUGUAACUGACGCUCAUGUGCGAAAGCUAGGGGAGCAAACAGGAUUAGAUACCCUGGUAGUCCUAGCCGUAAACGAUGGACACUAGGUGUGGGGGAAUAUUUCUUCCGUGCCGCAGCUAACGCAUUAAGUGUCCCGCCUGGGGAGUACGGCCGCAAGGCUAAAACUCAAAGGAAUUGACGGGGGCCCGCACAAGCAGCGGAGCAUGUGGUUUAAUUCGAAGCAACGCGAAGAACCUUACCAGGGCU